RNAcentral lists this long non-coding RNA (974 nucleotides) under Gossypium raimondii (Peruvian cotton). Its description in RNAcentral is "long non-coding RNA (GRAI_LNC000426)". The record is from RNAcentral. Lineage: Eukaryota; Viridiplantae; Streptophyta; Magnoliopsida; Malvales; Malvaceae.
GCGUAUGUUAUUGGGUUUCCGCUUGUUAAGGAAGAUAUGGAUAUGAGAUCCAAAAGCUUGCAUGCCCAGGUUAAAGUAGCCAAUUGAUGAAGGCAUAAUUGGUUGAGGACGCCCCUUAAAAUUGUCUAUCAAAGCUUCCGUGUGUCAAUGUUUGAUUCAGGUGUAAAUAAGGUUCGGUCUAGCACAUUGCACUACGCGCUUAAUAACCUCCGCACUGACAUAUAAUAUUCAGGGAAUCAUAAAAAGAAAUGGCUGCACUUUGGACGCUAUUUCCUGCUGUUGGGGAAGUUUCGUCUCAACUGGAAAGUUUUGCAGAGAGGGAAGAAAACAAGCACAACGGAGUGUUUGUUUUAAGGCAUUCCGGUGCUAGUAGAGUUUGUCACGUGAAAUUAUGAGUUGGAGCACUGAAACCUCUCUUUGAUUUUAAAGAAAGUAAAAGGUAUUUUCUAUGACCACUUGAAAUGCUGAUUAUUAUUAUUAUUAUAAAAAACAAAUAAUGAUAUUAUGCUGUAACCGGUGAGUUAUAUUUUACUUGUCGGUGGGAAAUAUUGUAGUCAGCCUCGCAGGCGUAAACACCUUUUAACAAAUAGCUAGGUUCACUAAUUAUCACUCAUCGCGCAUUUGUCGUCGGUUAAGUCUCAAACCAGGGGCCACAGGCCAACUCCAACCGCGUUCCUCUUUUUUUUUUUUGCCCCAAAUAGGAUCACCAUUACACGGAAAUUUCAUCUAAAUCAUUACUCUCUUCUUGGUCUAAUAAAAUACGUAGUGUUUUUAUUUAUAUAUGACAAUCUUUUUAGUCGUUCUGUAAUACAUAUAACGAUAUGUUAUUUAUGACUUUGAUACUAUGGGGGAUGGUUUAUUAAUUUAGUGAUUUACAAUCAUGAAAACAAUGGCCAGAGGCUGGGAUUUAAUUAAUUACUAUGGUAGACAUUGUUACAUUAUAUAUCUCCAAGAUGUAAUUGAUUUACUGUGUG